Oncorhynchus masou masou (cherry salmon) is the source of this 4248-nucleotide long non-coding RNA. RefSeq lists it as uncharacterized. The transcript has 3 exons. The record is from RefSeq and is a predicted model, not a curated record. NCBI's taxonomy places the organism in Eukaryota, Metazoa, Chordata, Actinopteri, Salmoniformes, Salmonidae.
UGUACACAAAUGAAAAUACACUGUCUACAGGCUUGAUGUCGUAAUCAUGUCACAACUGAGACUUUCACAACUUCUUUAUUUCCAAUGUUCUUUCGAAAAGAUUUACCAUACUGGCAUCGACAACCACCAACUGUUGGUUUGGUUGGCCCACAGUGGAAAGUUACUGAAAAGCAUGACAGGCUAUUUAGUUGGCCUUUAUGGCUGAAUUCUCACUUUGUUGUAUCAUCCACAGACAGAAGUUGAAUACGGCCGAGAAGAAGCUUCCAACCAAACCAGUCCCCUAGAUACAGAAAGCAACCUUGUCUAGACCAGAGGACAUCUAUGAAAACAUGAAAUGGUCAGCCAAGCCGAUCACUGAUCCUGAUGACAUGAACUACGCAGAGCUCAAUAUCAGGCCUGCUCCUUCACCCAGGAUGCAGCGGAAUAACAAGGUAGAGGAUGACGAUGCAGUAAUCUACAGACAACUGCAAACACACUGAGGUGGUCAGAGAACUUUGAUAUCUGGACCUCAAGGCCUACAGUAUGGUAAACUCAAGAAAAGUGAAUGACAAAAAGUAUGUUUAAGUCACGUUUUUUAAAUAGCAAAAUACAAGCUGUUAUACUGUAUGUGUAUGUACAAACCAUGUACAGUGUACAAUGUACAAAAUAAACAGUAAAAAAGUGGAUAAUUAUACAAAUACAAACAUAAAAUGAUUUACAUGAGCACACAGGGUAUAAAAUUGUUAAACUUGGGUCAAAUGUUUUGGGUAGCCUUCCACAUGCUUCCCACAAUAAGUUAGGUGAAUUUUGGCCCAUUCCUCCUGACAGAGCUGGUGUAACUGAGUCAGAUUUGUAGGACUCCUUGCUUGCACACGCUUUUUCAGUUCUGCCCACAAAUGUUCGAUUGGAUUGAGGUCAGGGCUUUGUGAUGGCCACUCCAAUACCUUGACUUUGUUGUCCUUAAGCCAUUUUGCCUUUGGAAGUAUGCUUGGGGUCAAUGUCCAUUUGGAAGACCCAUUUGCGACCAAGCUUUAACUUCCUGACUGAUGUCUUGAGAUGUUGUUUCAAUAUAUUCCCAUCAUUUUCCUUUCUCAUGCUGCCAUCUAUUUUCUGAAGUGCACCUGUCCCUCUUGCAGCAAGCACCCUCACAACUCACAACAUGAUGCUGCCACCUCCGUCCUUCGUGGUUGGGAUGGUGGUCUUCGCUUGUAAGUCUCCCCCUUUUCCCUCCAAACAUAAUCAUGGUCAUUAUGGCGAAACAGUUCUAUUUUUGUUUCAUCAGACCAGAGGACAUUUCUCCAGAAAGUGCGAUCUUUGGCCCCAUGUGCAGUUGCAAACCAUAGUCUCGCUUUUUUAUGGCGGUUUUGGAGCAGUGGCUUCUUCCUUGCUGAGCGGCCGUUCAGGUGAUGUCAAUAUAGGACACAUUUUACUGUGGAUAUAGAUACUUUUGUAACUGUUUCCUCCAGCAUCUUCACAAGGUCCUUUGCUGUUGUUCUGGGAUUGAUUUGCACUUUUCGCACCAAAGUACAUUCAUCUCUAGGAGACAGAACGCGUCUCCUUCCUGAUUGGUAUGACGGCUGCGUGGUCCCAUGGUGUUUAUACUAUUGUUUGUACAGAUGAACGUGGUUUGGAAAUUGCUCCAAAGGAUGAACCAGACUUGUGGAGGUUUACAAUUUUUUUCUGAGGUCUUGGCUGAUUUCUUUUGAUUUUCCCAUGACAUCAAGCAAAGAGGCACUGAGUUUGAAGGUAGACCUUGAAAUACAUCCACAGAUACACCUACAAUUGACUCAAAUGAUGUCAAUUAGCCUAUCAGAAGCUUCUAAAGCCAUGACAUAAUUUUCUGGAAUUUUCCAAGCUUUUAAAGGCACAGUCAACUUAGUGUAUGUAAACUUCGUACCCACUGGAAUUAUGAUACAGUGAAUUAUAAGUGAAACAAUCUGUCUUAAACAAGUGUUGGAAAAAUUACUUGUGUCAUGCACAAAGUAGAUGGCCAGGUUGCAGUUGCAAAUGAGAGCUUGUUCUCAACUAGCCUACCUGGUUAAAUUUGUAUUAUUUUAUCUUCAUUUAACUAGGCAAGUCAGUUAAGAACAAAUUCUUAUUUUCAAUGACGGCCUAGGAACAGUGGGUUAACUGCCUGUUCAGGGGCAGAAUGACAGAUUUGUACCUUGUCAACCCUUCUGGUUGCUAGUCCAACACUCUAACCACUAGGCUACGCUGCCACCCCGAUAAAAUAAAGUUGAACUCUAAAAAAAAAUAUAAAGUAAAUGGAGAUGAACUCACAAUUGUGUUGUCUUUUUGCUGAUAACAAAAUCUUUUAUUGAAGGCUUUGUUCAAAAAUGCUGAUAGUAAAAAGUUAACAGAAUUACAACACAUUUGAAUGUUCUUUGAUUGAAUAGGAAAAAUUGUGUGAAAAAAUGAUGUAAUUAACAGGCAAUGUUUAUUUUUAAAAUUGGGGCUAUGGCAGUCAAUUGCAAAACAUUCUAACAGUAUUUCUUAUUGUAUUCUCAACUCACCAUAAUAUACUUUUCAUGUGGGGCUAUGACAGGCAAUUGUAAAGUCUGACAUAAUUUAUCUUAUCACCACCACUAAUGAGAUGGGUGUGCUUGAUACAUGUCAGGUCUGAUAUUCUCAAAGUCAGGGGUGUGGUCCACAAUGUGCACCUCAUCUCUCCUGUCACAUCCAACCUGGAUCAAUAUUUGUUUUUAAUGCAGACGCGAGCACAAAAUCAGCGCACCAUGAGUUUUAGACGGCACAGUAUUCCCUUUGAGUCAGGUGUGGCCACCAGCUGCAUUAAGUACUGCAGUGCAUCUCCUCCUCAUGGACUGCACCAGAUUUGCCCGUUCUUGCUGCAAGAUGUUACCCCACUCUUCCACCAAGGCACCUGCAAGUUCCCGGACAUUUCUGGGGACAAUGGCCCUCACCCUCACCCUCCGAUCCAACAGGUCUCAGAUGGGAUUGGGAUUGAGGGAUUGGGAUUGAGAUCCGGGCUCUUCGCUGACAUUCCUGUCUUGCAGGAAAUCACACACAGAACGAGCAGUAUGGCUGGUGGCAUUGUCAUGCUGGAGGGUUAUGUCAGGAUGAGCCUGCAGGAAGGGUACCACAUAAGGGAGAAGGAUGUCUUCCCUGUAACGCACAGCGUUGAGAUUGCCUGCAAUGACAAUAAGCUCAGUUGAUGAUGCUGUGACACACCGCCCCAGACCACGACGGACCCUCUACCUCCAAAUCGGAAUCACGCUUCACCAUCUGGCAGUCUGACGGACGAAUCUGGGUUUUGCGGAAGCCAGGAGAAUGCCACCUGUUCCAAUGCAUAGUGCCAACUGUAAAGUUUGAUGGAGGAGGAAUAAUGGCCUGGGGCUGUUUUUCAUGGUUCGAGCAAGGUCCCUUAGUUCCACUGAAGAGAAAUCUUAAUGCUACAGCAUACAUUGACAUUCUAGACUAUUCUGUGAUUCCAAUGUUGUAGAAACAGUUGGGGGAUGGCCCUUUCCUGUUUCAGCAUGACAAUUUCCCAUGUACAAAGCAAGGUCCAUGCAGAAAUGGUUUGUCAAGAUCAGUGUGUAAGAACUUGACUGGCCUGUAUAGAGCCCUGACCUCAAACCCAUCGAACACCUGCGAGCCAGGCCUAAGUGCCCGACCUCACUAAUGCUCUUGUGGCUGAAUGGAAGCAAGUCCCCGCAGCAAUAUUCCAACAUCUAUGGGAAAGAUUUCCAGAAGAGUGUAGGCUGUUAUAGCAGCAAAGGGGGGACCAACUCCAUAUUAGGAGGAUGUAUUAUCUUGGCAAAGAAGAAAUCACUAACACGGAUGUAAACAAAUGUGUGCACAACAUUUUAGAGAAAUAAGCUUUUUGUGCGUAUAGAAAAUGUCUGGGAUCUUUUAUUUCAGCUCAUGAAACAUUGGACCAACACUUUACAUGUUGCAUUUUUAUUUGUGUUCAGUGUAGUUGCUGUAGUUUACUUUAGAGAACACAAACUCUUGCAUCUUAUACAGUGAAGAACGUGCAAAGUAGCAAGGGAAAGAGAGACAUGGGAGGGGCACAGCCAGGCAGAGGUCAGUCUUUCGGCUACCAGGCAGACAGUCAGAACCGUGCAUCAGUAAUAAAAAGAUGUUGGUAGGCUAUAAGUUAUCUCAAUUAUGUAUUUAUAAGUUAUCUCAAUGAUGUAUUUAUAAGUUAUCUCAAUACUGUAUUUAUAAGUUAUCUCAAUACUGUAUUUAUAAGUUAUCUCAAUACUGUAUUUAUACGUUAUCUCAAUACUGUAUUUAUAAGUUAUCUCA